AUUGAACGCUGGCGGCAGGCUUAACACAUGCAAGUCGAGCGAGCGGCGGACGGGUGAGUAAUGUCUGGGAAACUGCCUGAUGGAGGGGGAUAACUACUGGAAACGGUAGCUAAUAACGCCUACCAUCAGAAGUGCCCAGAUGGGAUUAGCUAGUAGGUGUGGUAAUGGUUCAACUAGGCGACGAUCCCUAGCUGGGCUUAGAGGAUGACCAGCCACACUGGAACUGAGACGCGGGCCAGACGCCUAAGGGAGACAGCAGUGGGGGAUAUUGCACAAUGGGCGCAAGCCUGGUGCAGCCAUGCCGCGUGUGUGAAGAAGGCCUUCGGGUUGUAAAGCACUUUCAGCGAGGAGGCGUUACUCGCAGAAGAAGCACCGGCUAACUCCGUGCCAGCAGCCGCGGUAAUUC
Molecule: ribosomal RNA, 406 nt
Filed under: uncultured bacterium
Lineage: Bacteria
Description: partial 16S ribosomal RNA
Rfam family: Bacterial small subunit ribosomal RNA
Source: RNAcentral